RNAcentral lists this ribosomal RNA (469 nucleotides) under Staphylococcus aureus. RNAcentral describes it as "partial 23S ribosomal RNA". It matches the Rfam family "Bacterial large subunit ribosomal RNA", at positions 2454 to 2925 of the family's 2925-position model. RNAcentral also lists the same sequence under 4 other names. The record is from RNAcentral. Lineage: Bacteria; Bacillati; Bacillota; Bacilli; Caryophanales; Staphylococcaceae.
GGAUAAAAGCUACCCCGGGGAUAACAGGCUUAUCUCCCCCAAGAGUUCACAUCGACGGGGAGGUUUGGCACCUCGAUGUCGGCUCAUCGCAUCCUGGGGCUGUAGUCGGUCCCAAGGGUUGGGCUGUUCGCCCAUUAAAGCGGUACGCGAGCUGGGUUCAGAACGUCGUGAGACAGUUCGGUCCCUAUCCGUCGUGGGCGUAGGAAAUUUGAGAGGAGCUGUCCUUAGUACGAGAGGACCGGGAUGGACAUACCUCUGGUGUACCAGUUGUCGUGCCAACGGCAUAGCUGGGUAGCUAUGUGUGGACGGGAUAAGUGCUGAAAGCAUCUAAGCAUGAAGCCCCCCUCAAGAUGAGAUUUCCCAACUUCGGUUAUAAGAUCCCUCAAAGAUGAUGAGGUUAAUAGGUUCGAGGUGGAAGCAUGGUGACAUGUGGAGCUGACGAAUACUAAUCGAUCGAAGACUUAAUCAA